CUGACUUCAGUUGCAGCUCCUCCCUUCACUCCACUUCUGAUAAAUGAAUAUUAAUGACGUUUCCAUCACGUGUGCCAGGACUCGCCCAUUUACUAUAGGAAAGCGCGUUAGAUGAUAUCAGUAGUACACAAGUACAGAAGUACACAACAAGACCCACAAUUACAGCAAAGGCUAGCAACAUCUGCCACAACAUCAAUGCCAGUGCCGACAGAUCUAUGGAGAAAGAAACCACCCACACCGUUGAGUAAACAAGCAGCACAAUUCCAACAAUGAGGUUGCAACUGUGAGGAAUAAAAAUACAUGGUUGUAGAUGCAGUGCACUAGAUGGAAGAGAACUCGGAAUGCCGCUCUAGUUCUAUGGCAAAAAUCUUAAAAGGCC
Molecule: long non-coding RNA, 379 nt
Organism: Hyla sarda
Lineage: Eukaryota; Metazoa; Chordata; Amphibia; Anura; Hylidae
Exons: 3
Source: RefSeq, a predicted model, not a curated record